GUAAAAGCUUUACUUUUGUGCCCUGUCUCCUGCGGAGCCGCUAUUCCCCAUGGUCCUUUCAGGAACCCCAGCAUCCACUUAGGACGAUAGAGAAAAUUGAAUAUUUUUCACUCAAUCCAUGCUGUAAUCAUCUGUACAGAUUAUUUGAAACCUCAAUGUAGGAUCAGUUCCUGAAAGUUAUGUUCGACCUGGAGAAGGUUACUUUUUCAUCCAGCUUUACGCAAGACAUUGUGGCAGAAAAGGAGUGCAAUUGCGCAGAGUCCCAGAUGAGGCUCCCUUAUAUGGAAUCCAAAACCUGCAAGAUCCGACGCUGGAUGAAAACAAUAUUGUGAUGUGGUCAAAAUUGACUGGAAAUGAGUGGAAAUUAAUGUUGUUGAGGUUAAUAGUACUGUAGGGGGGAAAAAGGCCCACAUUAUGUGAUUUUAGCUGUUUUUAUGAUUUUUUAAAAAAAAUACAGAUCCAGAAUAAAUACAGAACCAAAACUCACAGGGGAGAUUUUGUCAAAACAAAUACAGAUCCAAAACACGAAAGAGAUACAGAUCCAAAACAAGAAACCAAAACCCAAGAUUUGGGCCAGCGCACAUCUCUAUAAUUAGGUAACCUGUGCUCAAAGAGAGUAUGGUGGUCCUUAAAAUCAGACUGGGGGAAUUCAAUUACAUGUAAAGGGGGCAAAUCAGCUGUUUCAACACUGGCAAUGGCAGCCUAAUCUGCCCCCUUUGCCUGGCUGGCCAAAUGCCAGAUUUGCCUAAAAGUGCUUGCUGCCUAUGGCGCAGCAAGCACUUUUGAGCGAGAUCCCUGCUGGCGUAAAGUGUGGCAGUGCAACACUGGGCAAAUCCGCCUGCACUUAAUUAAAUUUCCCCUUAGUGUGCAUUGAGGAGCGUGGUUAGAAACCAUUGAUCUACGCUGUAUGAACGUUGUGUUUCCUCAUAUAGAUGUCACUGGCAAAGCAGGGGUAUGGGCCAGUAGCCGACCUAUAUAUAAUUCCCUUUAGAAGUUGCAACAGUAUUUGUAUUAUUAUUUAACCAGUUGAGACUGUGAAAUUAGAAAAAUGUACAAUAGCUAACUCAAAUUUCUGGAAAGAAAUUUUUAAAAUAGUUAAGCCUAGGAGAGUGAUAAAGUGGAAAACAGAGAUAAAAAAAGUAUCAGCCAAUUAGGUUCUAACUGCUGUGUUGGGAUGCAGUUAAAAUGCCUGUUGUCGGGAUCCCAGCGUUCAUGUUACCAACUCCGGAAUCCCGACAGCCGGCAUUAUACCGGCGCACAGAAUUCCAAAACCCGCUCGUAUUUCCCUCUCGGUUGGUGGGCCCAUGCCACCUAUCAAGUGGGAAUAGAACCUGUAGCGAGCGCAGCAAGCCACCAGACACGAAGAGCGGCGAGCACAGUGAAGGGAUGCCGCUGUUGCUAUACUGACAGCCAGCAUCCCGUCUGCCUGUAUUUUAUACCAGUUUCUCUGUGUUACAAUGCCAUUCACGCUGCUAAUUAUUAGUGAAGUAAUCAAGCUAAACUAAUUCAGAAGUGGCCACCAGCUUUUCCAUAUAUAUUUUAUUAUUUUAAUUCAUUGUUACGCCGGCCGUGUGAUUAAUGUCUGUAUGUUAUGUAAUGUAAAAUAAAUGUUUUGUGUUUUGAAAAUUUA
This is a long non-coding RNA of Pseudophryne corroboree (corroboree frog), 1630 nucleotides long. RefSeq lists it as uncharacterized. The transcript is spliced from 3 exons. The record is from RefSeq and is a predicted model, not a curated record. NCBI's taxonomy places the organism in Eukaryota, Metazoa, Chordata, Amphibia, Anura, Myobatrachidae.